CGGUCACAGUGAAUAAAGCAAAAGGGAUCUGAAAUUGUUGAAUUUUUCUUGACUAUAUGAGUUUAGUCAUAUGAAAACUCAGAAUUUACAAAGUUCUCUCUUCUGCAUUAAAAAAAAGAAAAACACAACAAAUGAUGGAUAAAGUUUUACUGCAGUUUGUAACAAAAUAUUUACAUAAAAACACAAUACUAAAAUGCUAAGAUGAUAAAAAGAAAUCGUGUUUAGAUAUGAAAUAUUUGACUAUUUCCGCUGAUUCUGGUCAGUUCUUUAUUUGUCAGUCAUAUUGCAAAUGAUGCCACCCUGUGGUGAAUUUGCCAAACUACAAUUGUCAGUGUUGAAAAAUGUGAUAUAAUAUUAUUGUACUCCUGCGUAGACUGUCUCAACUGUGUCUGCUGACACAUGUGAACUGUUGGUAUUCUGUUUAGAGUCGUGCAUUUUAACAGUUGAAUAAAGACCACUUUCCCUCCGUAUGUAGGUGCUGUACGGCUCAAUGUCCUCUGACCCCUGCAGAAGCAAAUAUGUUUAAAACAUUAAGGUUACAUAAACAAUAUAAAUGACUAAAAAGUUACAUCUUUUGCUCAGUACCGUGUUUUGAGGUCUAGGAGAUGGUUUUCUGUAAGAGAAACACAAAAACAAACAUGAUUUUGAUCAUCAGUCGCUGCAUCAUGUAGCUCGUUUUAAUGGGGGCAACAGGAAAUGAAAGUCACUGUGUUCCUUCAAUGGCUCAUAUGAAACUUGAAGAAAAGAAAUUGUUUAUAGCAGUGGUGCACUUCCAUUAAUACGAUAAAUACAUCUGAUAAAUUAUUAGCAGGCAGCUAAUUGACUUUAAUCUACUUAAACAUGAGAACAGUAGGGCAAGGUCGUGCUGAAGAAGACGUUACAUCAAAAUGAACUUAAGCUAAAGUGGAUUAACCAAAAUGAAAAGAGCAAAGAGAAUCACAUGUUUUAAAGUUAUGAAGUGUGUUAAAAGGUAAAUCAUGAAACAUAUGAAACACAGCUGUGACAGUGGUUUCUCACCUGUGGCGCAGUCGUGUGUGAAUAAAUCCAA
Long non-coding RNA from Oreochromis aureus, 1048 nucleotides. The record is from Ensembl. Lineage: Eukaryota; Metazoa; Chordata; Actinopteri; Cichliformes; Cichlidae.